CACAAGCGGUGGAUGAUGUGGAUUAAUUCGAUGCAACGCGAAAACCUUACCUACCCUUGACAUGUCCGGAAUCCGAAGAGAUUUGGGAGUGCUCGCAAGAGAACCGGAACACAGGUGCUGCAUGGCUGUCGUCAGCUCGUGUCGUGAGAUGUUGGGUUAAGUCCCGCAACGAGCGCAACCCUUGUCAUUAGUUGCCAUCAUUUGGUUGGGCACUCUAAUGAGACUGCCGGUGACAAACCGGAGGAAGGUGGGGAUGACGUCAAGUCCUCAUGGCCCUUAUAGGUGAGGCUACACACGUCAUACAAUGGCUGGUACAAAGGGUUGCCAACCCGCGAGGGGGAGCCAAUCCCAUAAAGCCAGUCGUAGUCCGGAUCGCAGUCUGCAACUCGACUGCGUGAAGUCGGAAUCGCUAGUAAUCGUGGAUCAGCAUGUCACGGUGAAUACGUUCCCGGGUCUU
Molecule: ribosomal RNA, 457 nt
Filed under: uncultured Rhodocyclaceae bacterium
Lineage: Bacteria; Pseudomonadati; Pseudomonadota; Betaproteobacteria; Rhodocyclales; Rhodocyclaceae
Description: bacterial SSU rRNA
Rfam family: Bacterial small subunit ribosomal RNA
Source: RNAcentral